Molecule: transfer RNA, 78 nt
Filed under: Planctomycetota bacterium
Lineage: Bacteria; Pseudomonadati; Planctomycetota
Also listed under: 1 other name
Description: Planctomycetes bacterium (salt lake metagenome) tRNA-Trp
Rfam family: tRNA
About the family: Transfer RNA (tRNA) molecules are approximately 80 nucleotides in length. Their secondary structure includes four short double-helical elements and three loops (D, anti-codon, and T loops).
Source: RNAcentral
AGGCCAGUAGCUCAAUCUGGCGAGAGCACCGGUUUCCAAAACCGGCGGUUGGGGGUUCGAGUCCCUCCUGGCCUGCCA